Podarcis lilfordi (Lilford's wall lizard) is the source of this 74-nucleotide non-coding RNA. The record is from the annotation of a GenBank genome assembly. Lineage: Eukaryota; Metazoa; Chordata; Lepidosauria; Squamata; Lacertidae.
UGAGCAAUAGCUCAGCUGGCAGAGCAAGGGUCUCUUCAUCUCAGGGUUCUGGGUUCGAAUUCCGCGUUGGGCAA